Long non-coding RNA from Toxorhynchites rutilus septentrionalis, 982 nucleotides. RefSeq lists it as uncharacterized. NCBI's taxonomy places the organism in Eukaryota, Metazoa, Arthropoda, Insecta, Diptera, Culicidae. The transcript is spliced from 3 exons. The record is from RefSeq and is a predicted model, not a curated record.
UGUAUUUCAUUUAAAUAGAAUACUAAUUUGAUACGAAUAAGUUAAUUUUUAUUCAUAAUUUUAAUUUUGAAAACGUGUUCAUUCCGCCUGAAAAUUAAUUACUAUCUUGGACGCUCCCAAAAUCAUGAAACGAAGCUCAGUGCCGUCAACGCGAAUAUCAACAAACACAGCACAAACGAAAAACAGAAUGUGAAAAACAAGUUAGAACCAGAGAAGAAAAACAUCAAAAUGGACUCAGAAUAACAUUUUGAUAAAUCGUGGUGAGAGUGUUCUACAAGUGGCUGACGAAACGGGCCUUCCACGGUCGACAGUUUACGGAAUCGAGAAGCAAGAAAUAGCAUUGCGGUAUUGCAAGGCGUUGGUCAACUAAACUAUCCCCUGAUUUCGAGAUAAUAAUAGGAAAUAUAAAGGUAGAGAAACCAGAUGCCGAAAUCGACACAACUAUCGUUAAGGAAGAAUAUGAUGUGAAACUUAAAAAUACGAAUGCAAUCACUCAGCCCAUGGCGCCGAGGAAAUUAACCAAGAACAUUCAUAAACUUAUCAAAAAAGCAUCAAAACACAAAUCUUAUUUACGAUAUGGAUUAAAGGAUGUUCAAGUGCGUUGAAAUGGAGGUUGCAAUUUAUAAAAAAGAUUGUCAUUUUCGCUGCAGAAAAGUGGAAAUCAUGUGUCACUUGCCAUCUGUUUGUGAGAAACGCAAUAUCCCAUAUUGCUAUACGCCGAGUCGGAAGACUUGGGAGCAGCAGUGGGUGUGAAAUGAGGCACAGUCGCAAUACUAAUCCGAGAGCAGCCCGAUUAUCAGGAACAGUUCGAUAAACUAAAAGUGAAGAAUCAAUGCCGUCAACACGAAUAUACCAUUGUGCGAGUUUUUACAACACGAUAAAUUUUUAGGAGUAUUUUCAACCAUUUUUCCAAUCAAAACAAUUUAUGGUGUUACAAUCAAUCAUUUUGUAUUUUUGUUAUCAUGCCAUAUACUUAAUUAAA